CGCAAUGGGCGAAAGCCUGACGGAGCGACGCCGCGUGAUUGAUGAAGUCCUUAGGGACGUAAAGAUCUUUUAUGAGGGAGAAAUUUUUUGGAAUGAUAGUACCUCAUGAAUAAGGGGCUCCAAACUCUGUGCCAGCAGGAGCGGUAAUACAGAGGCCCCAAGCGUUAUCCGGAAUCACUGGGCGUAAAGGGUGUGUAGGUGGCUUUGUUAGUCGUUUGUUAAAUCUCCCGGCCUAACCGGGAACAUGCAAGCGAAACGGCAAGACUAGAGGAUGCGAGGGGUCUGUGGAACUCAUGGAGUAGGGGUGAAAUCCGUUGAUAUCAUGGGGAACACCGAAAGCGAAGGCAGCAGACUGGCGCAUUCCUGACACUGAACACGAAAGCGUAGGUAG
Molecule: ribosomal RNA, 391 nt
Filed under: uncultured organism
Description: bacterial SSU rRNA
Rfam family: Bacterial small subunit ribosomal RNA
Source: RNAcentral